GUGAAGGGUCAGGCUCCACAGCAACAGGCAUUUGGGUACACUCUCCUUAGUCAGUGGUGUUACAUAAUGUAGCAAAUGAUUGAUUGAGGCAAAUGAUUGAUAAGAGGCUUAGGCAGUUAACCAUUGUUGCAUAUUAAAGCUUUUUGUUAAUUUCCUCUAAUUAUUACGUGUAAUAGCCCAUAUGUAGACAUACAUUGGGAGUUUGGACAAACGGAAAUACACUUCAUUUGCUAAACACACCAGCCAGCACUGUUCUACUUCCCGAGAUACAACAAAAGUAGGAUUUAGGCGUGCGAUGAUAGAUGGCGCCUCAGGACAAGGAAAAUCUAGGAUCUAGCAAUCCAACGAGCAUCGUAGCUCUGCAGACCUAAUGCAUGCAGACGGUAAGGAGACAUAAAGUAAGGUGAUAAGGAAAGGAGACGAGGGAG
This is a long non-coding RNA of Hypomesus transpacificus, 428 nucleotides long. RefSeq lists it as uncharacterized. The transcript has 3 exons. The record is from RefSeq and is a predicted model, not a curated record. Lineage: Eukaryota; Metazoa; Chordata; Actinopteri; Osmeriformes; Osmeridae.